Molecule: long non-coding RNA, 970 nt
Organism: Aegilops tauschii subsp. strangulata
Lineage: Eukaryota; Viridiplantae; Streptophyta; Magnoliopsida; Poales; Poaceae
Source: RefSeq, a predicted model, not a curated record
CCUCUUUCCCUCAUCCACACAGCUCCCUCCCGAUUCCCCAUCGCCGCGCCGCCACCCACCACCUCUUCCCAUCCCUCUUCCCACAGCUCACCGCCGACCCUCCCCCACCCCUUCUCUCGCAUCACAGCUCCGACAGCUGUCAGAUCUGCUGCAUCCCCCACCCAUCCACCCCUGUCGCGACCCAACUCCCUGUCUCGUGCGACCCUCGCGCCGCGACCAACACCAUCGAUUCCGGCGACGUCCACCACCUCAUGGCACACCGGCGAGCUGGUCUUCGACCCCUCCAUCCUCAGAUCCGGCUGGAUCUGCCACUACUUGUCUCCGGCGCUCGCCCACAACCCCGCGCCCGUGGCUAGGGUUUCGGCUGCGGCGUCGCGUCCAUCACCGGCUCGUCUCCGGCGGCUCCUCCCCGUCGGACACCGCACCCUCUCCACCCUUGGAUGGCGCCCACUAGCUCGGUGUGCUCGCGCAUGUUGGGCUGUAUGGCGUCGACCCCGACCUCCUUUGAUGCGUCUCCGGCGCGGCCGUGCAUCCCGUGCAUCAUGUGACGGCCUCCUCCGCCACGCGACGGUGGUAGCCGACCUGCACUGCAACGGCUGCAUCGCCUACAAUCUUCUUCAUCAGUACAUCUCCCACCUGAUCGACGCCGAUGCCACGGUCCUCGAGCAGGACAGGGUUUGGCAGUUAAUCCAUGUUACAGGAGACCGAAGUUUUUAGCAGGAAUUACUUGGGUUCGGAAGCUGCCUUCAAUCGUUGCUAUUGGAGAUUAAAAUCAGCUAGUAGUGCAUUUUAUUUUAAGUCAUGUAACUCACUCAUUACAAAAAAACUUUUAGCGCUUUCUAGAUGUGCUCGGGAUGUUUUGAUAUUAGCUUUUGCUUUUUCAAAUCAGAUUAGAUUGUUGGAAAUCUGUAUUUUCAUGUAAACUAUUGCUAUUUUUUGAAGGAAUAUAGUUUGGUUGUCUUGCUGUAAA